GCAGAUCCUGUCCGUCAAGGAAUUUCGGCUCCUGGGGUCCAGGAAAAGAGCCUUCUCUGCCGUGGCCUCUGCCCUUUGGAACAUCUUGCCCCCUGAGAUGCAUGGAGGAAUAAAUACCCUGUAGAGAAAAAAUACAUUUAUUUUUCUUCUUUUCAAAAAAAUUAUUCAAGAGAUAAAUGCUGGAUGUUUAAACCACUCUUAAAUAAACUUACAAUUGUGGAAUUUACAACGCUCAUUUAUGCAGACUAUAAACAGUGAUCUUGAAAUUGCAAGAAGAAUCAUUGUCUUGAAAUGAUGGAAAUUGAAUGGCUUAUUUUUAUUAAAAGAAGAUAUAAGACUGAUAUGCCAAUUUAAAUUAGAGCUUCUUUCAAAGUAGUUCAGUUCCCUAUGUUUCUUUAUUCAUCACAUGAGAAUCCAGUAAAGCUUUUAUGAAGUUUUUUUUCCUGGCACUGAAUAAAAAGAAAGUCAUUCAAAAAUUGAAAUACAUAUUGUUGAAUGGCUUGAAGCAACUGGAAUCGAGAAACAAGCAGAAUCCGCUGUUGAACAUAGAACAAACUUUUAAGGUGAUUCAUAAUUAACUAGACUUGAGGCUUUGAAGAAGGUGAAUUACAAGAAGCUUUUGCUGAGAAGAUAUGUUUUAAAAAGGUUCUUCAUACUGAGGAGAUGUUGGUGAGUGGGCAUUCAUGCUAACUGAAGAAAUAAAUAAAUCUUCCUUCAGAAGAUUUGCUGGCUUGCUGGUUUUAUAUAAUCCAAAUUUGCUGGACACUCAGCUGGAUAAUAUCUGCUUAAAACAUCUCAAGGCAUAUUUAAAUAGCAUUUCUUGUGGAAUUUCAAAGCUCUUCAGUCUCAUUCAGUUUUGCCACGGCAACUUUUAACAUCUGUGUUCUUGGCUCUUCAUUCCUUAUUCAGUUUCCAUCUUACAAUUUUGUAAGUUUGUUUCACCUGAAGGAGUCAUCUACCAUCUUCAGUUCAUGGCAAAUACACCCAAUCAAUACCACAUUUUGGGUGCAAAGCAUGGUGCAUUGUCAUUAAUUUUGUUGUCUUCUGAUCCAAGUUAACAAGUUCCACCUGGGUCCAGUCAACUGUUCCUGCUGCAUAUUGAAUAACAGAAACUGCUCAGGUUCAUGACAUUAGCAAUUUGGGAGGCAGAAGAAACACCAAGUACUGUGAGCAAUUUACUUCUGAUUACUAGACCCACUGUGAUAAACACCAGAAUCAAGGUAAUUUAUGUUUUCCCCUCCAUCUUGUGGAACUGAAUCACAAUCUU
Long non-coding RNA from Pantherophis guttatus, 1267 nucleotides. RefSeq lists it as uncharacterized. The record is from RefSeq and is a predicted model, not a curated record. NCBI's taxonomy places the organism in Eukaryota, Metazoa, Chordata, Lepidosauria, Squamata, Colubridae.